GCGAAUCUAGCUCCUCUGACAGUGAAGACUCUGAAACAGGUUAGCUGGCUCCUGUCCAAGCAUCUCAUCAAACUACCCUGCGCAUUCAUACCUGCUACUCUCUCAGUCCUUUGUCUAGGCUGUUUAAGAGCCCAGAGUUGAUGGCCACUGAGAACUGCCUGAGCUCUCCUGUCUACCCGUGCAUCAUGUUAACCUUCCCUCUCCCUGCCCUGUGUAGGAGCACUCUAUUCUCUCCAUCUGGGUAGUGGUAGACCUUGAGGACUGCAGGACUGUUGUUGGGGUCCCAUCAACAUUGGGCUGGAAUGUCCCCACUCCUCUUCCAGUAUUUUAGCCUUACAGUUGGCAUGGAAACGAAUCUGGCCACAUUUUAGCAGAGUAGAGCCAAGCCACCUGUAUCUGACAUCCUGCAUGAUCAGUCUGUUUGGAGCCUGACCUUGAACUAUGGAAGCUGCCGUUUUCUUCACAAUGUGCUCACUGCUGUUUUGUGUUGUCUGUCCCCAGAUUGCUCUAACUGUAUGUGUGUCCUGCUCUUCCUCUGAUCCUUGUGCUCUGUGGGCCUAUAUCGUGGUGUUCAGUUUCUUUGUUCUGAGCACCAGUUACAGAGCCUGCGGUAAAGAUGGGAACAGGUUUCCUUCCCAGAGGUGCACUCUUCUUUGUUGUUCUCAGAGGAGCAGGUACUCACAUUGGCCUCAAGGGAAAGGUAUGCUGUACCUAGGUUGUCUGACACAUGGCUCCUGUGGGCAGGGCAGGUUCUAUUUGCUGAGAAUAUCGUCCACCUAUGAGCCUGCCCUGGGGCCUCACGAAAAUGGGCUAGGAUGUGUGAGUUCUAUAGUGAGCAGAGGGCCUAUAGGGCCUGUAGACAAAAAGGCUCCUGGCAGUCUUCCAUGGAUCUUUGACUUGUGGAGUAAUCACCUGAUCAUGGAGAGUCAAGGCUCCCUUUCAACAGCGAGGAUGAGCUUUGUUAUUUCAAGCUGUACACACAGAAACUGGAAGCUAGGUUGGAAGAGACAUUUUUGAAUAGGCUUUGGCCUUCCCAGUUCUCUGUAUUGCCUUGUUUUGAUGAGCAAUGUAUUUACAAAGAAAAUGUAAUCUACUAAAUGGUGUGUAUGUGCAAAUUG
This 1118-nucleotide long non-coding RNA is filed under the name Rattus norvegicus (Norway rat). Its description in RNAcentral is "long non-coding RNA NONRATT026563". The record is from RNAcentral. Lineage: Eukaryota; Metazoa; Chordata; Mammalia; Rodentia; Muridae.